Molecule: ribosomal RNA, 194 nt
Filed under: uncultured bacterium
Lineage: Bacteria
Description: partial 16S ribosomal RNA
Rfam family: Bacterial small subunit ribosomal RNA
Source: RNAcentral
GAUUACUCCUACGGGAGGCAGCAGCCGCGGUAAUAGACGGAAGUCUGACCGAGCAACGCCGCGUGAGUGAAGAAGGUUUUCGGAUCGUAAAGCUCUGUUGUAAGAGAAGAACGAGUGUGAGAGUGGAAAGUUCACACUGUGACGGUAUCUUACCAGAAAGGGACGGCUAACUACGUGCCAGCAGCCGCGGUAAU